RNAcentral lists this ribosomal RNA (670 nucleotides) under Nocardioides marinus. RNAcentral describes it as "bacterial SSU rRNA". It matches the Rfam family "Bacterial small subunit ribosomal RNA", at positions 89 to 772 of the family's 1533-position model. Lineage: Bacteria; Bacillati; Actinomycetota; Actinomycetes; Propionibacteriales; Nocardioidaceae. The record is from RNAcentral.
ACUCGAGCGGCGAACGGGUGAGUAACACGUGAGUAAUCUGCCUCUGGCUUCGGGAUAGCCACCGGAAACGGUGAUUAAUACCGGAUAUGACAUCUUCACGCAUGUGAUGGGUGUGGAAAGUUUUUUCGGCCAGGGAUGUGCUCGCGGCCUAUCAGCUUGUUGGUGGGGUAAUGGCCUACCAAGGCUUCGACGGGUAGCCGGCCUGAGAGGGUGACCGGCCACACUGGGACUGAGACACGGCCCAGACUCCUACGGGAGGCAGCAGUGGGGAAUAUUGGACAAUGGGCGGAAGCCUGAUCCAGCAACGCCGCGUGAGGGAUGACGGCCUUCGGGUUGUAAACCUCUUUCAGCACAGACGAAGCGCAAGUGACGGUAUGUGCAGAAGAAGGACCGGCCAACUACGUGCCAGCAGCCGCGGUAAUACGUAGGGUCCGAGCGUUGUCCGGAAUUAUUGGGCGUAAAGGGCUCGUAGGCGGUUUGUCGCGUCGGGAGUGAAAACACCGGGCUUAACUCGGUGCUUGCUUUCGAUACGGGCAGACUAGAGGCAUUCAGGGGAGAACGGAAUUCCUGGUGUAGCGGUGAAAUGCGCAGAUAUCAGGAGGAACACCGGUGGCGAAGGCGGUUCUCUGGGAAUGUCCUGACGCUGAGGAGCGAAAGUGUGGGGAGCGAA